This 329-nucleotide long non-coding RNA is filed under the name Rosa chinensis. Its description in RNAcentral is "sRNA RchiOBHm_Chr2g0148481". Lineage: Eukaryota; Viridiplantae; Streptophyta; Magnoliopsida; Rosales; Rosaceae. The record is from RNAcentral.
CCGUCUGUGACUCUUGGUUUUCAUACCCCGUCUGGUCUUAGAACCAACCGUUGGUCACCAUCUGCGACCCAUACUUUUAAGACCCUAUCUGGUCUCAAGUCAAUGUUAAGUAAGUCACACCUGACCUAAAACGUUACAACUAUCUAAUUUCGGCUUUCCUUACCUCUGCUCACCAUCUGUGACGCAUGAUGUUCAGACCCCAUCUGGUCACGAAAUCAAACAUCAAGGUUACCGUCUGCAACCUGUCACUAUCUGUGAUCUAUCACCAUCUGUGACAUAAGAUCUUCUUAGACCCUAUCUGGUCUUAAGGUCAACGUUAAGUAAGUCAC